RNAcentral lists this ribosomal RNA (506 nucleotides) under uncultured bacterium. RNAcentral's name for it is "partial 16S ribosomal RNA". It matches the Rfam family "Bacterial small subunit ribosomal RNA", at positions 28 to 523 of the family's 1533-position model. The record is from RNAcentral.
GAUGAACGCUGGCGGUAGGCCUAACACAUGCAAGUCGGACGGCAGCACAGGAGAGCUUGCUCUCUGGGUAGCGAGUGGCGGACGGGUGAGGAAUACAUCGGAAUCUACUUUUUCGUGGGGGAUAACGUAGGGAAACUUACGCUAAUACCGCAUACGACCUACGGGUGAAAGCAGGGGAUCUUCGGACCUUGCGCGAUUGAAUGAGCCGAUGUCGGAUUAGCUAGUUGGCGGGGUAAAGGCCCACCAAGGCGACGAUCCGUAGCUGGUCUGAGAGGAUGAUCAGCCACACUGGAACUGAGACACGGUCCAGACUCCGACGGGAGGCAGCGGUGGGGAAUAUUGGACAAUGGGCGCAAGCCUGAUCCAGCCAUACCGCGUGGGUGAAGAAGGCCUUCGGGUUGUAAAGCCCUUUUGUUGGGAAAGAAAUCCAGCUGGUUAAUACCCGGUUGGGAUGACGGUACCCAAAGAAUAAGCACCGGCUAACUUCGUGCCAGCCGCCGCGGUAA